GUGAACGCUGGCGGUAGGCCUAACACCUGCAAGUCGAACGGCAGCACAGUAAGAGCUUGCUCUUACGGGUGGCGAGUGGCGGACGGGUGAGGAAUACAUCGGAAUCUACUUUUUCGUGGGGGAUAACGUAGGGAAACUUACGCUAAUACCGCAUACGACCUACGGGUGAAAGCAGGGGAUCUUCGGACCUUGCGCGAUUGAAUGAGCCGAUGUCGGAUUAGCUAGUUGGCGGGGUAAAGGCCCACCAAGGCGACGAGCCGUAGCUGGUCUGAGAGGAUGAUCGGCCACACUGGAACUGGGACACGGUCCAGACUCCUGCGGGAGGCAGCAGUGGGGAAUAUUGGACAAUGGGCGCAAGCCUGAUCCAGCCAUACCGCGUGGGUGAAGAAGGCCUUCGGGUUGUAAAGCCCUUUUGUUGGGAAAGAAAAGCAGCAGGUUAAUACCCCGCUGUUCUGACGGUACCCAAAGAAUAAGCACCGGCUAACUUCGUG
RNAcentral lists this ribosomal RNA (491 nucleotides) under uncultured bacterium. RNAcentral describes it as "partial 16S ribosomal RNA". It matches the Rfam family "Bacterial small subunit ribosomal RNA", at positions 29 to 507 of the family's 1533-position model. The record is from RNAcentral.